Molecule: non-coding RNA, 273 nt
Filed under: Auxenochlorella pyrenoidosa
Lineage: Eukaryota; Viridiplantae; Chlorophyta; Trebouxiophyceae; Chlorellales; Chlorellaceae
Source: RNAcentral
CACCUCGCUGCUUGUCACGUCAGGGCUGACUACAACACAGCUCUUCAACCCUAAAUAAUCGGUCAUGCUCGCCUCUCAGGCGUCAUACAUCUAUUCAUGGGCUUCUCAAUGCAUUCCCCAUAGCCAGCUGUUGAUGGCAAAGAAUGCUUGAAGCAAGCAGGAUUGCAGCCCCUCAUGGGGAGGCAGGAUCUGUGCCCAAUCUCAAGGCACAGCCAAGCCUAGCCGCUUUGACCUGCCCGUUCCGGGGGGCCUGCCAGGUGCACUCAAGUUUUC